UACGAAGGACCCAAGCGUUGUCCGGAUUUAUUGGGUUUAAAGGGUGCGUAGGCGGUUUGUUAAGUCAGUGGUGAAAGCUCCGAGCCCAACUCGGAAACUGCCAUUGAUACUGAUGAUCUUGAGUACAUUUGAGGUGGGCGGAAUGUGUCAUGUAGCGGUGAAAUGCUUAGAGAUGACACAGAACACCGAUUGCGAAGGCAGCUCACUAAACUGUAACUGACGCUGAGGCACGAAAGCGUGGGGAGCAAACGGG
RNAcentral lists this ribosomal RNA (253 nucleotides) under uncultured bacterium. Its description in RNAcentral is "partial 16S ribosomal RNA". It matches the Rfam family "Bacterial small subunit ribosomal RNA", at positions 524 to 776 of the family's 1533-position model. The record is from RNAcentral.